RNAcentral lists this transfer RNA (74 nucleotides) under Stegodyphus mimosarum. It matches the Rfam family "tRNA". From Rfam's summary of the family: Transfer RNA (tRNA) molecules are approximately 80 nucleotides in length. Their secondary structure includes four short double-helical elements and three loops (D, anti-codon, and T loops). The record is from Rfam by way of RNAcentral. Lineage: Eukaryota; Metazoa; Arthropoda; Arachnida; Araneae; Eresidae.
GCCUUCGUGGUGUAGUGGUCAGCAUGCUCGACGAUUUAACAAAGAGGUCCGCGGUUCGAAUCCCGGCGAAGACG